Molecule: ribosomal RNA, 1343 nt
Filed under: uncultured bacterium
Lineage: Bacteria
Description: 16S ribosomal RNA
Rfam family: Bacterial small subunit ribosomal RNA
Source: RNAcentral
GACGAACGUUGGCGGCGUGCUUAACACAUGCAAGUCGAACGGAAAGGCCCUGCUUUUGUGGGGUGCUCGAGUGGCGAACGGGUGAGUAACACGUGAGUAACCUGCCCUUGACUUUGGGAUAACUUCAGGAAACUGGGGCUAAUACCGGAUAGGAGCUCCUGCUGCAUGGUGGGGGUUGGAAAGUUUCGGCGGUUGGGGAUGGACUCGCGGCUUAUCAGCUUGUUGGUGGGGUAGUGGCUUACCAAGGCUUUGACGGGUAGCCGGCCUGAGAGGGUGACCGGCCACAUUGGGGCUGAGAUACGGCCCAGACUCCUACGGGAGGCAGCAGUGGGGAAUAUUGCACAAUGGGCGGAAGCCUGAUGCAGCAACGCCGCGUGCGGGAUGACGGCCUUCGGGCUGUAAACCGCUUUCGCCUGUGACGAAGCGUGAGUGACGGUAAUGGGUAAAGAAGCACCGGCUAACUACGUGCCAGCAGCCGCGGUGAUACGUAGGGUGCGAGCGUUGUCCGGAUUUAUUGGGCGUAAAGGGCUCGUAGGUGGUUGAUCGCGUCGGAAGUGUAAUCUUGGGGCUUAACCCUGAGCGUGCUUUCGAUACGGGUUGACUUGAGGAAGGUAGGGGAGAAUGGAAUUCCUGGUGGAGCGGUGGAAUGCGCAGAUAUCAGGAGGAACACCAGUGGCGAUGGCGGUUCUCUGGGCCUUUCCUGACGCUGAGGAGCGAAAGCGUGGGGAGCGAACAGGCUUAGAUACCCUGGUAGUCCACGCUGUAAACGGUGGGUACUAGGUGUGGGGUCCAUUCCACGGGUUCCGUGCCGUAGCUAACGCUUUAAGUACCCCGCCUGGGGAGUACGGCCGCAAGGCUAAAACUCAAAGGAAUUGACGGGGCCCCGCACAAGCGGCGGAGCAUGCGGAUUAAUUCGAUGCAACGCGUAGAACCUUACCUGGGUUUGACAUGGAUCGGGAGUGCUCAGAGAUGGGUGUGCCUCUUUUGGGGUCGGUUCACAGGUGGUGCAUGCCUGUCGUCAGCUCGUGUCGUGAGAUGUUGGGUUAAGUCCCGCAACGAGCGCAACCCUUGUUCACUGUUGCCAGCACGUUAUGGUGGGGACUCAGUGGAGACCGCCGGGGUCAACUCGGAGGAAGGUGGGGAUGACGUCAAGUCAUCAUGCCCCUUAUGUCCAGGGCUUCACGCAUGCUACAAUGGCUGGUACAGAGAGUGGCGAGCCUGUGAGGGUGAGCGAAUCUCGGAAAGCCGGUCUCAGUUCGGAUUGGGGUCUGCAACUCGACCUCAUGAAGUCGGAGUCGCUAGUAAUCGCAGAACAGCAACGCUGCGGUGAAUACGUUCCCGGG